CAGGCUUGCUGGAGCCCCCCAGCGGCGCCUGGGCGUUCGCCGGAUGGUGACGUGCCCGACACCGUGAACAACGAGGGGCUUUU
This is a regulatory RNA element of 83 nucleotides. It matches the Rfam family "ybhL leader". From Rfam's summary of the family: This family is a putative regulatory RNA structure that is found upstream of an uncharacterized membrane protein in alpha-proteobacteria. The record is from Rfam.